CCUACGGGAGGCAGCAGUGGGGAAUAUUGCACAAUGGGGGAAACCCUGAUGCAGCGACGCCGCGUGAGUGAAGAAGUCAUUCUUUAUGUAAAGCUCUAUCAGCAGGGAAGAAAAUGCCGGUACCUGUGUAAGACUCCCCGGCUCACGCCGUGCCAGCAGCCGCGGCAAUACGUAGGAGGCAAGCGUUAUCCGGAUUUACUGGGUGUAAAGGGAGCGUAGACGGCAGUGCAAGUCAGGAGUGAAAGGCGGGGGCUCAACCUCGGAAUUGCACUGGAUACUGUACGGCUGGAGUGCAGGAGCGGUAGGUGGAAUGCCUGGUGUAGCGGUGAAAUGCGUAGAGAUGAGGAAGAACACCAGUGGCGAAGGCGGCUUACUGGACUGCAACUGACGUUGAGGCUCGAAAGCGUGGGGAGCAAACAGGAUUAGAUACCCGUGUAGUC
RNAcentral lists this ribosomal RNA (440 nucleotides) under uncultured bacterium. Its description in RNAcentral is "partial 16S ribosomal RNA". It matches the Rfam family "Bacterial small subunit ribosomal RNA", at positions 338 to 795 of the family's 1533-position model. The record is from RNAcentral.